AUUGAACGCUGGCGGCAUGCCUUACACAUGCAAGCCGAACGGCAGCACGGGAGCAAUCCUGGUGGCGAGUGGCGAACGGGUGAGUAAAGUAUCGGAACGUGCCCAGUCGUGGGGGAUAACGUAGCGAAAGUUACGCUAAUACCGCAUACGAUCUAUGGAUGAAAGCGGGGGAUCGCAAGACCUCGCGCGAUUGGAGCGGCCGAUAUCAGAUUAGGUAGUUGGUGGGGUAAAGGCUCACCAAGCCGACGAUCUGUAGCUGGUCUGAGAGGACGACAAGCCACACUGGGACUGAGCCACGGCCCAGACUCCUACGGGAGGCAGCAGUGGGGAACUUUGGACAAUGGGCGAAAGCCUGAUCCAGCCAUGCCGCGUGCAGGAUGAAGGCCUUCGGGUUGUAAACUGCUUUUGUACGGAACGAAAAGGUUUGGCCUAAUAAGCUGAGCUCAUGACGGUACCGUAAGAAUAAGCACCGGCUAACUACGUGCCAGCAGCCGCAGUAA
This 500-nucleotide ribosomal RNA is filed under the name uncultured bacterium. Its description in RNAcentral is "partial 16S ribosomal RNA". It matches the Rfam family "Bacterial small subunit ribosomal RNA", at positions 30 to 523 of the family's 1533-position model. The record is from RNAcentral.